GGCCGCGCGGCCCGGGCGCAGCCCCCCACCCCCGGGCGUCAGCACGGUUUCCGAGGCCGCGGCCUCCUGUGGGCAAGUUAGGGGCUGAGAGGCCUAGAAGACCUGCCACCAGGACGGAAGCGGCAGACGGUGGGCAGGAGGGAAGGUCAUUCCAGCCUCCAGAAACCUUCGUCAAAGUCUGUCUUGUGAAGGACACAAAUACCAGAAGUCUGAGAAACAGGAAUCUGGAAGGAAGGAAAACAAUCCGAGAAGCAGAACAAAAGCAUGAGAUCACUCAUGAAUGGUGCUACCAUAUCCUUUGGACAGCUCACUUCCUGGAUGCUCUGAAUGCUCCAGUCUCUUUGAUGUUUUCUUACCAGCUGCUACUCCACUUAGCCAUUAAACAGUGUUGACCCUGAUGACAUGGAUAUGGAUGAUGUUGGCACCGUUGGCCACUUGCUUCAGUGAACUGAGUAGGGUGUUCAAGAAGAAACCCUUGCCUUAGGAAGACUUCUAAGAUUACAGUGAUCACCACCACACUUUUGUGUAAUUACCCCACCCCUUGAGCAUUGCUGAUUUGCCUCUAAUAGAAUAAAGGAAUAAUAAUGGGAUGUCAUUUCCAUCAUUAGUUUAGAAAAUAUUGUAAGUUCUGUCUUGUUUGCAAACUCUCUCCCAGCUUUGAUGAAGUAAGUUGUCAUGUUGGAGAAACUCACAUGACAAGGAGCUAGCCAACUCUACCAAGGGCCAACAAGGUAUUGAGGACUGCCGGUUCAACACGCUUUGAGGAACUGCAUCCUGCCAACAACUGUGUGAGUACAGAAGUGGGUCCUUCCCUUGUCACGCCUUCCAAUGAGCACAUAGCCUCAGCU
Long non-coding RNA from Suricata suricatta (meerkat), 848 nucleotides. Lineage: Eukaryota; Metazoa; Chordata; Mammalia; Carnivora; Herpestidae. The record is from Ensembl.